RNAcentral lists this long non-coding RNA (365 nucleotides) under Pan troglodytes (chimpanzee). Its description in RNAcentral is "long non-coding RNA NONPTRT016743". The record is from RNAcentral. Lineage: Eukaryota; Metazoa; Chordata; Mammalia; Primates; Hominidae.
ACUUAACUAAUAUACAAAGACACAAACAGGUUGAAAAGCACGCCAUUCUCCCACCUCAGCCUCCUGAGUAGCUGGGACUACAGUUUGUCUUGUGGCAUGGAGGACAGCUCAGCCACAGUAGAAUAAAGCACCAGGUGGAUUUCUAGGGCUUUUAACUCAAGGCCCUGGCUUCCAGAUGGCAUCUCCAGACCUUUCCAGGGCCAGGGGAACUUCCUGCCCUGAAGGAAAGGGCAUAAGUCUGGCUGGACUUGCCACUUGCUGAUUGUAGAGCCCUUAGUCAUUUCUUGAGUGAACAUAGGUGGUAGCCUAGCAGUGGUCACUGGGGGCCUUGGGUAAGACCCAGUGCUAUGCUGGCUUCAGGUCUG